GAAUUUUUUCCACAGAAUAAAUCCAAAAAACUCACGUGACAUCAGUCCCAUGUGAGUUUUAUAUUGAAAAAAUAUAUUCACCCACCCCAUGGAUUGUGUGUGAUCUGCAAGUUGUCUAGCAAAAUGCUUUCUGUACAUAUAGUACAACUCAUGAAAACAUGUUCUGACAGCGAAAAUUUAGUUUGCAAAUUGUGUUCAUGGAAAAGGGGGUGAGUAUGCAUACCCACCAAAUUCUCUUUCCGUCACAUAAUUCAUGGGAAAAAAUUGAUUUAAGUCUUCAAACUGCCAGUGUAAUAAAAUUAGAAAUAAAAACAUUGUUCAACUCUCCGAAAGUGUCGAGAGGUCUUUUUAUAAAACAUGUUAGAAUUCAAGUGAUGUCGAUGGAAACCUAUGCAGUAUCUUGUAUAAACUUGUAAUGCACACCAAAAAUGACGGCUGCUAAAUGAGAGAAUCUAUCAUGGUCGACGACUUCGAGUCAUUCUCAAGUCGUGACAAGAAGGUAAAGAAGUCCCUUCAAAUAUUCUACAAUUUCCGAUCCUCCCAGCUUUGAGCUUCCAUAUACUCUAUCAACAAAUGUUAUUGGAACCUAUAAAAAUCACAAUUAGAGAUCAAUAUAAGUGUAAUAUUCACCAAAAGUAAUUCCACGAUAAAAUCCUUUAGCUUGUCGAAAAUCAUGAGCCAAAAUCCCAAGAGAAAUGUUCAAGCACUCAACAAUCUAUCAUACGAGUCUAUUUACGGUCAAAUGGUGGUUCAUAUAAUAUCCCCAUGCUACAACAUAAAAAUUAUUCACAUGGCAUUUUGCUAUAAAAUGCAGACAAUAUUAAACCUUCACUCUCUUUCCAUCAGAAAACGGCUAUAGAAGGAUCUCAAAAGGUACGAACUCAUCUACAAGUUACAGACCAUUAGAGCCUGUUUGAGCCCCAUUAUUCUCCAAAAAUACAUUUUAGAACAGUGUUUUGAUGGAGAAUAUGUAGAAAAAAAAAAAUGAAUUUUUUUUGGUUUACGUGUAAUAAUAUUUUAUUGAAGAAUGUGUAGUUGAAAAUAAGAGAGAAAAAUCUAUUUUAGAAAUAAUGGGAAUCAAAUAACUGCUAAGAAUCCAACUUCAGUAAUGGCUGGGAAAUAAACUUCCUAAAAGACAGGUAACAUUGAGUAUUUUUGUACUUGUGAAAAAGAUUUAUGCAUGAAUGAGCUUCUAGUGAAGGGCAACCAAUGAUGAAAUUGAAAUAAAGUAAAAUGAUAUGCAUGCCCAUCAAUCAUAACGGACUGCAGAUGGAAUAUCAUUGCAAGCUUUGUAUAGUAAUCCAGGGAUAUAGUAGGGGAGCGCA
Molecule: long non-coding RNA, 1325 nt
Filed under: Olea europaea subsp. europaea
Lineage: Eukaryota; Viridiplantae; Streptophyta; Magnoliopsida; Lamiales; Oleaceae
Source: RNAcentral